This 466-nucleotide ribosomal RNA is filed under the name uncultured bacterium. Its description in RNAcentral is "partial 16S ribosomal RNA". It matches the Rfam family "Bacterial small subunit ribosomal RNA", at positions 28 to 507 of the family's 1533-position model. The record is from RNAcentral.
GAUGAACGCUGGCGGCGUGCUUAACACAUGCAAGUCGAACGAUGAAGCCCAGCUUGCUGGGUGGAUUAGUGGCGAACGGGUGAGUAACACGUGAGUAACCUGCCCUUAACUCUGGGAUAAGCCUGGGAAACUGGGUCUAAUACCGGAUAGGAGCGUCCACCGCAUGGUGGGUGUUGGAAAGAUUUAUCGGUUUUGGAUGGACUCGCGGCCUAUCAGCUUGUUGGUGAGGUAAUGGCUCACCAAGGCGACGACGGGUAGCCGGCCUGAGAGGGUGACCGGCCAACCAGGGACCGAGGAGAGGCCCCAGCUCCUAAGGGAGGGCGCAGUGGGGAAGAUUGCACAAUGGGCGCAAAGCUGGUGCAGCGGCGCCGCGGGGGGGAAUACGGCCUUCGGGGUGUAAACCUCUUUCAGUAGGGAAGAAGCGAAAGUGACGGUACCUGCAGAAGAAGCACCGGCUAACUACGUG